RNAcentral lists this ribosomal RNA (253 nucleotides) under uncultured bacterium. RNAcentral's name for it is "partial 16S ribosomal RNA". It matches the Rfam family "Bacterial small subunit ribosomal RNA", at positions 524 to 776 of the family's 1533-position model. The record is from RNAcentral.
GACAGAGGGUGCAAACGUUGUUCGGAAUUACUGGGCGUAAAGCGAGUGUAGGCGGUCUGAAAAGUCAGGUGUGAAAGCCCUGGGCUCAACCCAGGAAGUGCACUUGAAACUGCCAGGCUAGAGUACUGGAGAGGUUGGUGGAAUUCUCGGUGUAGAGGUGAAAUUCGUAGAUAUCGUAAGGAACACCUGUGGCGAAAGCGGCUUACUGGGUCUUUUCUGACGCUGAUGCACGAAAGCCAGGGGAGCAAACGGG